GCUAACUUCGUGCCAGCAGCCGCGGUAAUACGAAGGGGGCUAGCGUUGUUCGGAUUUACUGGGCGUAAAGCGCACGUAGGCGGAUCGUUAAGUCGGGGGUGAAAUCCUGGAGCUCAACUCCAGAACUGCCUUCGAUACUGGCGAUCUUGAGUCCGGAAGAGGUGAGUGGAACUCCUAGUGUAGAGGUGGAAUUCGUAGAUAUUAGGAAGAACACCAGUGGCGAAGGCGGCUCACUGGUCCGGUACUGACGCUGAGGUGCGAAAGCGUGGGGAGCAAACAGGAUUAGAUACCCCUGUAGUC
This 300-nucleotide ribosomal RNA is filed under the name uncultured Devosia sp. RNAcentral's name for it is "bacterial SSU rRNA". It matches the Rfam family "Bacterial small subunit ribosomal RNA", at positions 496 to 795 of the family's 1533-position model. The record is from RNAcentral. Lineage: Bacteria; Pseudomonadati; Pseudomonadota; Alphaproteobacteria; Hyphomicrobiales; Devosiaceae.